UGCCCAGACUCCUACGGGAGGCUGCAGUCGAGAAUCAUUCGCAAUGGGCGAAAGCCUGACGAUGCGACGCUGUGGGUGCGAUGAAGGCCUUCGGGUCUGUAAAGCACUUUCGCUAGGGAACAA
Molecule: ribosomal RNA, 123 nt
Filed under: uncultured Chlamydiales bacterium
Lineage: Bacteria; Pseudomonadati; Chlamydiota; Chlamydiia; Chlamydiales
Description: partial 16S ribosomal RNA
Rfam family: Bacterial small subunit ribosomal RNA
Source: RNAcentral